This 496-nucleotide ribosomal RNA is filed under the name uncultured bacterium. RNAcentral's name for it is "partial 16S ribosomal RNA". It matches the Rfam family "Bacterial small subunit ribosomal RNA", at positions 28 to 506 of the family's 1533-position model. The record is from RNAcentral.
GAUGAACGCUGGCGGCGUGCCUAAUACAUGCAAGUCGAGCGAACAGACGAGGAGCUUGCUCCUCUGACGUUAGCGGCGGACGGGUGAGUAACACGUGGAUAACCUACCUAUAAGACUGGGAUAACUUCGGGAAACCGGAGCUAAUACCGGAUAAUAUAUUGAACCGCAUGGUUCAAUAGUGAAAGACGGUUUUGCUGUCACUUAUAGAUGGAUCCGCGCCGCAUUAGCUAGUUGGUAAGGUAACGGCUUACCAAGGCAACGAUGCGUAGCCGACCUGAGAGGGGAAUCGGCAAACCUGGACCGAGGACAGGGUCCAAACCCCUAGGGGGGGCAGCAGUAGGAAAUUUUCCGCAAGGGGGGAAAGCCUGACGAGGCAACCCCGGGGGGGUAAGAAAGGUUUUCGGAUCGUAAACCUCUGUUAUUAGGAAAAAACAAAUGUAUAAGUAACUAUGCACGUCUUGACGGUACCAAAGCAGAAAGCCACGGCUAACUACGU